RNAcentral lists this ribosomal RNA (253 nucleotides) under uncultured bacterium. RNAcentral's name for it is "partial 16S ribosomal RNA". It matches the Rfam family "Bacterial small subunit ribosomal RNA", at positions 524 to 776 of the family's 1533-position model. The record is from RNAcentral.
UACGAAGGGGGCUAGCGUUGCUCGGAAUUACUGGGCGUAAAGGGCGCGUAGGCGGAUAGUUUAGUCAGAGGUGAAAGCCCAGGGCUCAACCUUGGAACAGCCUUUGAUACUGGCUAUCUUGAGUACGGGAGAGGUGAGUGGAACUCCGAGUGUAGAGGUGAAAUUCGUAGAUAUUCGGAAGAACACCAGUGGCGAAGGCGACUCACUGGCCCGUUACUGACGCUGAGGCUCGAAAGCGUGGGGAGCAAACAGG